UGGGGAAUAUUGGACAAUGGGCGAAAGCCUGAUCCAGCCAUGCCGCGUGUGUGAAGAAGGUCUUCGGAUUGUAAAGCACUUUAAGUUGGGAGGAAGGGCAGUAAGCGAAUACCUUGCUGUUUUGACGUUACCGACAGAAUAAGCACCGGCUAACUCUGUGCCAGCAGCCGCGGUAAUACAGAGGGUGCAAGCGUUAAUCGGAAUUACUGGGCGUAAAGCGCGCGUAGGUGGUUCGUUAAGUUGAAUGUGAAAGCCCCGGGCUCAACCUGGGAACGGCAUCCAAAACUGGCGAGCUAUAGUAGGGCAGAGGGUGGUGGAAUUUCCCGUGUAGCGGUGAAAUGCGUAGAUAUAGGAAGGAACACCAGUGGCGAAGGCGACCACCUGGGCUCAUACUGACACUGAGGUGCGAAAGCGUGGGGAGCAAACAGG
RNAcentral lists this ribosomal RNA (429 nucleotides) under Pseudomonadota bacterium. Its description in RNAcentral is "Proteobacteria bacterium partial 16S ribosomal RNA". It matches the Rfam family "Bacterial small subunit ribosomal RNA", at positions 355 to 776 of the family's 1533-position model. Lineage: Bacteria; Pseudomonadati; Pseudomonadota. The record is from RNAcentral.